This is a long non-coding RNA of Passer domesticus (house sparrow), 4800 nucleotides long. RefSeq lists it as uncharacterized. The record is from RefSeq and is a predicted model, not a curated record. NCBI's taxonomy places the organism in Eukaryota, Metazoa, Chordata, Aves, Passeriformes, Passeridae. The transcript has 2 exons.
CAUGCUUGCAUCUUUCACCUUUCUGCUUCUGUCUUCAAACUGAAGCACAUGUGACAUCCUACAAAAAAAACCAAACUCCAACUCAGUGAAAGAAUGGAAGCUACAAUUUGUAAUUACAAUAUGCAUGGAAAAGUGGUGCAUGUGAACUGCAGGAGGUUCAACAAGGCCAAGUACUAGACCUUACACCUGGGCAACUGCUGAUAACAACACACAGUGGAAGAAGAAGGGAUUGAAGCAGCUCUGCCAAGAGGAACUUACAGGUGCUGGUGGCUGAGAGGCUGGACAUGACCCAGCCAUGGGCACUCCCAGCCCAGAGAGCCACACGUGUGCUGGGCUGCAUCCAGAGCAGGGUGGGCAGCAGGGCAGGGAGGGGAUUCUGCCCCUCUGCUCUGCUCUGCUCAGACCCCACCUGCAGGGCUGCAGCAGCUCUGGGGUCACAGCACAGGAAGGACAUGGACCUGCUGGAGGGAGUCCAGAGGAGGCCACAAAGGUGAUCAGAGGGAUGGAGCAGCACUCCUGUGAGGACAAGCUCAGAGAUAGGACCAUUCAUCCUGGAUAAGAGAAGGCUCUCAGGAGAUCUUACUGCAGUACACAACAGGACUUACUAGGACUGACGGUGACAGAUCCUUUAGCAGGGCCUGUAGCUACAGGACAAAGGGCAAAGGUUUUAAACCAAAAGAGCAUAUAUUCAGAUGGGUUAAGAAAGAUAUCUUUUAAGACAAGGGUGGUGAAAUACUGGAACAGGCUGCCCAGAGAUGUGGUAAAUUAGUUUUUUCAGUGCCAACUCAUAUAUCUAGGCAAAACCCACACUUAUCCUUUGGAUUCUAUGAAAUCAAUUUCAAAAUAUUCUUUGACUUCAAUAGGACAAGUUAAGAACUACACUGAUCUGAAUCUAAGCAUAUCAAUCUCUAUAGCAUGUCUUUGUCAACAGUCUUCGUGACAGAAAAUCCAAGAAAACGAGCAAGUUUCAAAAGGAAAGUUUUGUGGCCAAUGAAGCACUGCUUUAUUGGUCUCUUACAACAUGUAAGACAUUCUGAACUAAACAGUUUUCAAAGAGCUUUAGUGGAAAUCUCCAUACAUAAAGAAAGGGAGGGAGAACCAGCUCAGUUAUUGCAGAUUACAAUAUAGUACUAUUAAACAAACCAGAAAAAAAUCAAAGCUAUAAGACCACACAUGAUCUGCUUGAAUGCUUUAGAAAAUUCCUACAAACAAAAAUUGAGAAUUUUCAUCACAACUGAUUCUUGACAUAUGUGCUUCAUAAAUACUUAAGUUGUUUCCAGUAUAAGAAACUUAGGUAGUUUAUAACCCUGUCCACACUACUAACACCCAAACUUGUUUUUUUUAGUCAUCUCUACAAUUCAGAAUAACAUAAUGUACCAUCAGAGUGACUCAUGGUUGCAUAUUUGUAGUUUAAUUAUAAAAACAUUGUCUCACAGUGGAGGGACUGAAGUAAUUUAUUUUGGCUAACAUGCUUUCUGCAUUUGUCAUAUUCUUCUCAACUUAUUAAAGAUGAGUACACAUAUCAAAUCCCUCUGUCCUAGUAUGAAUAAAGUAGAGGCCUAAGAGAUGGAGUCAUUCCUCGGUGCAUGGUUUUAAAGUGUGUUAUAGGAGUGUAAGUAGAAGUGUAGUCACACUCAGUCCUUUCAGCAACUCAGGUUUUCCAAGAAUACUAUAGCACAGGACAUAACCUGCAGGAUACAACUAAGAGGAAUUUAAAUUAAAUGCAUCUCUAAUUCUUAGUCAGGCCAUACAGUGCCCCAAGUAGUUUGCAAAUUAGAUGCAGUAGAUUCAGACUAAGCAAUAUUUACUUCUCCCCAAGAGCUGAAAGAAGUCAUAGUCUCUGACUCUUAUUCAUAACUUUCCACUAAGACACUCCCAGCUGUGAUUAAAAAUAAGCCAAUAUUAAGAAACUUUUUGAUAUUCCCAGAAUGAAUUUUAGAUGCAGCAUCUCAGAGGUAAAGCAAAUAAACACAGACUGCAGUGGAGACUUUAAGAAUAUUUUCUUUCUGUGAACUUAAGCUUAUUUUAGCAAGUCACUCAUCUUCCCAGGUAGACCUAUUCUGCACCUAUAUGGACGGUGAGUCUCAGUGAAUACUGUUCUUCAAAACCAAUUAAUUUUUUUAAAGGAACAUAGGAAGCAUUUAAUAUUUCUAUAUUAAGCAUUUGAGUUUAAAUUAAUCUUACUCUAGUUCCUCUAACUGAAGUUUGCCUUUGCAUAAUUUUCCAAGUGUAGAGUAAGGGCGUAGUUCCACAAAUAUAAGUUUCAUAAGACUUUUCCUUGUUCAAUUUAUAGCUCUCUUCCCUUCUGCAUGCUCCUGGGUUUGGUGAGGAGCUGGCUGCCCAGUCAUGUUUCUGCAGUCACUGUGCUGAAAGUAGUAACUUCAUCUCUGUGUCUCUGGUCUUCAGGAACCAACUAACUUGUGCUUAUCACUGAUUGCUGACAGCUCGUUUUGUAUAAUAGAGACAUUCAAUUUUAACGACCACUUUUCUUCAAAAUUUAAAGGAUGAGAGGUAGUCUGUUUUACAAAGCAAAACACAAAAGAAAACAAAACCUCAAUUUUACAGCUUAAUGUUUUUGCUAAAAAGGUGUAAAAUAAAAUAGCUUUCACAAUAUGAUUACUCUGGGUUUGAAGUACCUAGUUGUGCAAGUUGUUGUUCCUCCUAAAUAGAAGACACAAUCACAAGAUUUCUGAUAAGAUUAACAGAAAUGAACAAGCAAUCUUUGCAAGGAUUUAUUGCUGAAUAGGUUGAUUUUUACCCUGACCAGAUGACAGCAUCCUACAAGUUGACCAUGGUCCUACCCCAUGUAAUGGGGGAGAAGCUGCCCUGCAUUUCUUCCCUUUCAAAUUACUAAAGAACACAGUAGUUGGCUCUCUUCUGUAUUCCAAAAAUUGAAUGUCUUGAAACGUUACACUGAAAUACACAAAUUAUUUUAAGAGUUUCAGAGAGAGCACAGGAUUUCAAAGGUACAAUGAUACUCCUGUGGCCUAGUGAUAUUCUCAGGUCAGCAAACAGAUCAAGCUCUUUUGAAGUACUCCAGUGAGACAGUACUUGUAACAAAAGAUAUGAUAUACUGUAAUCCCUCUGCUUUUGAGAUGUGUGAGCCAUGCACUGGAUCUGAACCAUGUGCCAACUGCUGACAGGUGGUAGUCUUGUUAAGUGUAGCAUAAAAAGAAUCCCCGUGGUCCAAAAGCUUUGGCCUUUCCAGAACCCCUUUUGGGAGAAACUGAAGUGGCAAUCAGGGAUCUGAAUAAUUUUGAAUCUUGGCAAGAGUAAGGAGCACUAUGCUUUUGUUCUACUGAUAAAGCUGAAACUUUGCAUCAGUGAUUUUUAUACUAAGUGAAAUGAAAGGGCAAAGCUAUAUUGCCUAAGACCACACUUGCUUUUCAAACUGAUAUAGCUGUUGUUUGCUACCACCUGCCUACUGACCCCUUUGACUUUCCUUGCACAUAUGGCCCUACAGAGCAAACCUCCUGGUGCCUGGAGGUAAAUCUGGGACAUUAUCUUGCACACAACUACAUCAGCAUUUUAAACAGAAAGUCAUCAACAAGUAUGAGCAAAAGUUACAUCCUGCCAACUGUAAGGGUAGUAGCUUCUGGCAGAGCAGCAGUAAAUUCUUAAGCAGUUUUAGGAAAAUGCCUGCACUUUGGAGGGGGCUGCAUAAAACAUUCCAGUUGGUGCCAUACUCCUUCUUUUUACACUAAAUGCAUACAAAAUAAAUAAAGCAACUAAUCAUGUUGUUAUAAAAUGUAGAGUAUUGUAAUUUUGAACAUUAUGGCUGUGUUUUAUGAUAAUUAUUGGUUCUUUCCAUCAGGUUGCCUAAAAUGAAUGCAGAAGGAUCAAGUAUCUGUGUCAAGAAAUUCAGUUGUAUUGUAUAGGCUGGGACCAAUAUGAACCAUAAUUACUAGCAGUACCACUUGUUUCUGAGUUGAACAUUGAUUUCAAGUAACAGGCUUCCUAUUUUCUCAGUUUCACAAUGCAUCCCAUAUUUAAAACAAAAACAAUGACAGGUACUCAAACACUAUUGCUUUCUGUAAAUUAGAUUCUACUUAAUGCUAAUUUUCCUUCAAAUACAGUAAAUAUUGAAGUGUAAUCAAAACUCAUUAAUGUAAGAAACAUUCUAGCACUUUUCUUCCACAAUCCUCUAGGUACCUAGGUAGUGGACAGAAAAGUAAUUCAAGUGACCAGAUGAGAAAACAGAUGAGAAUUCACGAUCAAAGCAAAGGAGAUCUCUCUCCCAAGGAAAGAAAGUCAGGCUGCUCUGGAAGAACAAACUCACUGGCACUCUCUGCUCCCAGAAGAAUAGUGGGUGGCACAGGAAGAAGAGAGACAUUAGAGAAACACCGAGAGACAGUUAAGAGAUCACAAAAAAAACAUGAGGAAGGGAAAGACUAAAAAAAAUAUAAGAAUGAGAAACAAAAACAGAGAGAAAGACUUAUCAAAAUGUAAAUCAAGUGAAGAAAAUUGUCAAAUGACAAUUUAAAAGAAGUAUAAAUUUUGAAUCAAGGCAAGAACAAGAACAAGGCAAAAAGAAUGUCAAGGCCAUGAAACAAAGGAAAUUUUGAAGGAGGAAAUACAUUACUAACAUCUAAUCUUUUUCCAUUUUUUAAAAAGUGUUUUGAAUUGAGAUGCUACAAGCAAAAUAAGCCUCUUGGGUCAGGCUGCUGUCAUUAUUCCUUGCACAAGUGUGUCCAAGAGCUUUACAAAUAAUUUUGUAAACACAAUGCAGCAGAAGAGAGGAAGUAUGUUUAUGUCUCUAAUGAAAUAUGCAACUAUCAUUAAGUGCUCUGUGUAAUACAA